GGAAGUUAGUCUUUGGAACUGGGGCAACUCCCAACAUUCCCCUCUCUUUGUUAUUAAAUGAGAGUGGGCAUAGACUCAUUCUGGCUGCUUCCUGCUGAGAUGGGUUGGUGUGAGAGAAUGAGAGGAGGGAAGUAAAGAUCCCCCACAGGAGGGCAGAGAAGACCUGUAUCAAUGAAGGUUCCUUGCCACCACAGAUCCAUGAUGAUGUCAGUCCAUUUGGCAUAGGUCUCGACUGGAGCCACCUGGUGAACAGAUAUUUUGCUGUAUUGUUACACUAUUGAAAAGGGAUGGAAAUGAGUAAGGAGAUUCUUAACACGACAGGCAUAAUGCUAGUUUUCAUUCUGCAAAAAAAGACCCAGGACUGCUGUGUUACAAUAGCACCACAUGGUAACCAAUGCCCCGUGAACAAACUCAGUCUUUGGAAUAUGAGCCAAGUUCUAGGUCAAUGAUCUCCUACUGCUUUAUUCUGAUCUUCCUGGUACUGAUUUCAUUUCUAACUGGGAAAACGUCAUUCAACAACAACAACAAAGUCUUUGCCUUGAGGAUUUAACCCAGAUGAACCCAGUUCCACAUGUCUUCAACAGAGUGAUAAAACCCUUGAUCUUUUGUUAUUUAAAGUCUGAUGUUCACAUAACUUCAGAUUAUUUUAUAUUAUAUAUGUGUUAAUUGAUUCUUGUAUAAGAACACAUAAAUUAAAGUCAUGGUGAUGAAAAAGCAUUUUAAAUAGAUGAUAAAAUGAAGUUUUCAAUAUACAUUCACAUAAGACAAGAAAUAAGAAAUGAAAAUGGAAAACUCCAGUACAUAAAGUCCUAAGAAUAAAAUACUAUCUUGAAACAUUAACUAUAGAGAUAAUAACAUAUGCACACAAGAAAAGUUGCAAAGAUAUGAUAAAAUAAAUCUACAAUUAUGCCUGCUUAUCAUUAUGUCAAGUUAACUAUAGUCUAAAUAUUAUUCUGUCUGCAUUUAAAUGAGUUGAAUAUCUAGAAGAUUUGUCCCAUAUAAGUUUAUUUCUCCUAUUUCUGUUAAACUAAAAUAUUGAAAAGUGCCAUGUAUGUGUACAUUGGUAAGAGGAAAUUUUUUUUGGUCUUUAUAUCAGAAAACUAAUUUGAGGAAGAAAAAAAUACUGGUAAUGAAGGAAAUUUAUUUGUGUACCCAAUUUUCAGUGUUUAUUUUUCAUCAGAAAACUUAAUUGAUGUUAUGUUUCAUUUAUUGAUUUCAUAUGAAAAAUUAGAUGCCUUUAAUUCCAUCAAAAAUGAAUGCCAGAAAGUUUUAGAUAAUACGCUUCUUUUCAUACAUUGUAAAGGACAAUGGAAAUGUAAUGCUAUUUUAUAUAGGACACACUGAAAAUAUGCCUCAAAAUUAUUCUUCGUACUAGUCAUUGGGUGCAAAUAUAAUUUCAAAAGUAACUGUUAAUUAGAAGUAACUAAAAGUAUUUAUUUAAAGAAUAGGUAAAAUCAAAGCAGUUGUUCCUUUUUAAAAUAAAGAUCCAUGUUGGGAAAAGAAGGAUAUGUGAGAACAGUAAUUUUUAUUGGAGAGUUCAUAAAUAUUUAGGACAUUUGCAGUUUCUCUGCUUUAU
Molecule: non-coding RNA, 1576 nt
Organism: Ictidomys tridecemlineatus (thirteen-lined ground squirrel)
Lineage: Eukaryota; Metazoa; Chordata; Mammalia; Rodentia; Sciuridae
Source: RefSeq, a predicted model, not a curated record